Molecule: transfer RNA, 75 nt
Filed under: Candidatus Nealsonbacteria bacterium CG08_land_8_20_14_0_20_38_20
Lineage: Bacteria; Candidatus Nealsoniibacteriota
Description: tRNA-Pro
Rfam family: tRNA
About the family: Transfer RNA (tRNA) molecules are approximately 80 nucleotides in length.
Source: RNAcentral
CGGGGGCUGGUGUAAUGGUAACAUACACGCUUCGGGUGCGUGGGACUAGCAGUUCAAAUCUGCUGCCCCCGACAA